Long non-coding RNA from Oxyura jamaicensis (ruddy duck), 2536 nucleotides. RefSeq lists it as uncharacterized. Lineage: Eukaryota; Metazoa; Chordata; Aves; Anseriformes; Anatidae. The transcript is spliced from 3 exons. The record is from RefSeq and is a predicted model, not a curated record.
GUCAUCUUGUUUUGAGCACUUACUCUGGGUUGAGCUGCAAUGAGUUAAGAAUAGUCAGCAGAACAAAUACGCUCAUCUUUGAUCCACUGGGGGAUGGAAAAUUAAAAACAAACCAACCAACAAAUGAAAAGACACACAAACCAUUUUGCUUGUGGAGAGUCUUACUGUCACAGCUGAGAGAAACCAACAGAACAAAUUAUGAGCGUGAGCUGUGCGUGAGAGCCAAAAGCUGGUGCUGAAACUGUCAGAACUGAAAUCUCUCAGUGAGUUCAGAGGCAACCCUCAGUAUUUUACAUUUCUUGAACAACCCAAGCCUCCCCACAGAGAUGAAUUGUUAAAGCUCACAUCCGAUCAGCUCCCAGAACAGCUGUAACCACAGCGGAGGAAAAGGCACAAUAAGAUUGUUCCUUAAGUGAAAAAACAAGGAGCAUUAGCAUUGUAACUUGCCAGCAGUGGAAUUUAUAGAUAAUUUAACCCAAACAAAUGAGCUGCUGUUUCUCCAGGAGAGGCCGAAAACACAUUGGAAAGCCACUCCAGAAGUAAAUGCAUUGCCUGUGGUCCAGCCCCCAGACACAGAGGGACGUGUCACACCCCUGCUGCUUGUCCUCAAGUUCAAUGUAACCUUGGUACACGAAGUGACAAGAGGAGCAAAGCAUUCCAGACAAGGUGAAAUGGUUUGUUUCCUUUCCUCUGUGAUGGGCUGUAAAAUGUGAACUACAGAUCAACGGUGAUAACGUGGAUGAGCUGUUUCCAUUGCAAAGCGAAUACAGCCCCUGCAGCGUAAUUUCAGUAGGAUGGCAAUGAUGGGUAAUGAGCAGCAAUGCUUGCUGCUAUUUGGUAACUGAAAGUAGUUUUGUGUUUACAACCCCUUUAUUUCUGGUACAGCAGCCAUCAGAUGCUAUUAGCUUGUGGGAGCAGGUAGAUGGAGUGACUCUUAAACUGGCAAUUUCCAAGUAAGCUCUUGACAGCAAAAUUGGGCAGUUGCUCACCCCUGUGAAGUCUCCUACCUCUGAUAUAUUCAGCUUUUUGCCUAAAGCUUUUUACCUGUGCUCAGGGCACAUGGAAGCAGCCAUGGUCCUGCAAAAUUGGCCAUUGGCCAUCCCUCAUCAGCCCCCGGCUCUCCAGCUCUUGUCUUGCCACUGGUUGAGGAGGUACCAGCUGGUCACUUUGAUGAUGGCAGUGAAAACCAGUGUUGCAGACUCGCUCUGGUCCCAAUUUUGAAGUUGUGGUUAUUGGAGUGCAGACUGCUAUUUUGUGGCUCAGGUGAUCCUGCCCCAGCACUGCUGGCACAUGCACAAGCAUGCACAGAGCCCGUGCUUGCACUCUCAUCUGGAGCAGCUGAUGCACACUUGCUGCCAGAUGGCCCCAGGCUCAUGUCCCACCGGCGCAGGUGACACCUGGAUCCUCUGUCCAGCAGAGCUUCCAGAGAUAAAUUCAUGUAGGACUGGGGGGAGGCUGCAGCCUUCCCCCAUGUGCUGUUUCUGCGGUGCUAGUGGCUGUGCUGCGAAGCUCGUGGGCAGCUGGUGGGCAGGCGGUGCCCAGCAUGGCCACGCAGGCUCCUGCAGGUGUGGCAGGGUGGCUGCUGAGUGUGGAGGGGCAACUCCUCAAAUCAGCCUUGCAUGAAGAUAGUGCAGGCUGGGUCAAAAAUCAGUGUGCCUGUGGCAAAAACCUGAAGGCAUGUGAAACAUGGGGCUUGAGGGUGUAAAAAAGCACAGGCUAGUGAAAAUUGAAGCUACAGACCAAUGGGUUUGUACAGUUCAGUGGUGUUUUUUAUUAGGGCUUCUUAAAUGAUAGGCUUUGUACCAGCACAACUGUGCUUUUUAACCACUUCUGCUGUUUGUGGGUGCAGAACAGAGUUCUUGCAGCGAUGGCUCACAGGCAGUAAGUAGCAUGAUAAAUGCUUUGGUCCUCGUAUCCUGCUUUACAAAGAAAUACAGGAAAAUGUGAAGCAAGGAGUGUGGGGGGAGAAAAGUGCUUUUCAUUUCCUAUUUGUUUUCUAAAAUCCGACUGCUGGAAGGACAUUUCUGAGGAGCAAGGUUGUGACUUCAGCUGUCAGCAACAUCCUCACGGAGCAUGGAAUUAUUCUGCUGGUUGAGAUGUUGUAACAUAGCUUAUGGUUCCCUACCUUUACAUCUGCUUUACUAAAAAAAAAAUAAUCCUGAUUAUAAUUCCAAGGGUCAGUGUUGGAGCAGUAGUUUCCUGUAGUUCUCAAAUGUAAUCACAAGUCUCACUCUGGUUUGGCUGCCUGGGAAUGAAUUCAGGCUGCUUGGCCUUGGUUACUCAGUUUGAUGUCUCAGCAUGUAGCAUAUUGGCUAUUGAGCGUGAGCUUCUUUCUGCAAAGUACCGUUAUGUACUUGAAAUAAUGUUUUGUUUCAUAUAAAGACAAAUUACAAAAACAAACAUUUGUGCAGCCUUUCUCCUGCACUUAUUUCCCUGACUCAUUCCUUUUUUAACUCCUUUCUCAGAUUGUUACAGCAUUUUCAGUUCACUGGGUUCAAUCUCCUGCAUUCAAGUGCUGCUGCUGUGCCUUAGCGGG